GGGGAUGAAAGGACUCGAUGAAUGGAAUAAGUUAAUCGGCACAGGCAUGUCGAGGAAGCGCUGAUCCUCGUAAAUCACAUAGCGCGACAUACAAAUGUCAAUUUUGUAUCAAAAGUGAAGAAUGCUUUGGCUAACGCCUUUAGCGUUCCGACCUUUGCAACAGCCGUCGCUUAAUCGCUUCGGCCAUCGUCUCCGCUAUACUCGCUAACGGAUAAACGGUGUAAACCCAGCGAGAGUAGGAUUGGACCGCCGCCAUAACGGUUUAAUCUGAAAGUUAAUUAUGGCUAGUCGUCGCUUUUUGGCCGCUUCUUUAAGCAACGGCGAAUUGCCAAAGCGGCUAAACAUGUAGUCUGUUCUAUUAACCCAUUCAGACCCGGGUUCAAUUCCCGGCAUCUCCACUU
Molecule: transfer-messenger RNA, 401 nt
Filed under: Patescibacteria group
Lineage: Bacteria
Also listed under: 3 other names
Description: 2-12-FULL-43-12 sp001783065 Standard tmRNA
Rfam family: transfer-messenger RNA
About the family: Bacterial tmRNA, also known as 10Sa RNA or SsrA, is named for its dual tRNA and mRNA-like properties. Its role is to liberate the mRNA from a stalled ribosome.
Source: RNAcentral